RNAcentral lists this unclassified non-coding RNA (175 nucleotides) under uncultured Agaricales. RNAcentral describes it as "sequence contains ITS2". The record is from RNAcentral. Lineage: Eukaryota; Fungi; Basidiomycota; Agaricomycetes; Agaricales.
AAUUCUCAAACCAACAACUUGUUUGUUGGCUUUGGACUUUGAGGGUUGUUGAUGAAAGUCGACUCCCUUUAAAUAUAUUAGCUGGCAUUUGACUGCCAGACUAUGGUGUGAUAAUUAUCUACGCUGUUGUCUGACAUGUUGGCCGCUUCUAAUCGUCUUCGGACAACUUUUGACA